Molecule: ribosomal RNA, 312 nt
Filed under: Triticum aestivum (bread wheat)
Lineage: Eukaryota; Viridiplantae; Streptophyta; Magnoliopsida; Poales; Poaceae
Description: partial small subunit ribosomal RNA
Source: RNAcentral
AUGGGACACACGAUGCAUCCUGGUGCGCUUAACCCACAGCCAUCAUUUGGAUUUGACAUGGAUGAUGUAGUAAGAAUGUACAUCCGAUACACACUGAACGGAAAACAAUUCAAUCCUGAUGUGGUUCUGGAUCUCAUACGUCUUAGGAAAGCAUCAAUGUUUGAAGAUAAUGAAGUUGCUGAAAUUCUGAAUCAGAUAUCAAGACGAAUUGUUCGGGAAAAAGUGGAUGAGCUCGAGGAGGUGUUCUACGAGGAGGUCGGUGCUGCAUUUUCCGACACAUGGGUCCUGCCGUCUUGUGUCAGUUGGGUUUGA